This 299-nucleotide long non-coding RNA is filed under the name Nicotiana benthamiana. RNAcentral's name for it is "long non-coding RNA (NBEN_LNC012374)". Lineage: Eukaryota; Viridiplantae; Streptophyta; Magnoliopsida; Solanales; Solanaceae. The record is from RNAcentral.
GAAGUCUUCGAGAACGGAUCUGAGCCGACAAAGUCGAAUCCGGGCUCAAAAGGCUAAGGCAUGCCAGAACAAGGCCGGAAAUGGCCAAAGAGACUCGAAUCGACCAAAGUCUGGAUGAAGGCCUUUGAGGUCUAGCCUCGAAUCAUCAAUGAGCAAGCAUAUAGAAGCAGGGGAGGGUGAGUAGUGGUUGUUCAUGGCUAGAUUAGGCAUAGAUUCCGGUGAUUUGAGGUCGAAGGGAGUAGGCGGCUAUUAGGGUUUCAUGACGUUGAGAGCGUUCGAGAGAGAUGAGAGAAAUCAAA